GUUGGCUUUAGCUUAUUUGGUAAAGUACCACACUGUGAAUGUGGAGAACAGGGUUCGAGUCCCGGAGUCAACC
Molecule: transfer RNA, 73 nt
Filed under: Chitinophagaceae bacterium
Lineage: Bacteria; Pseudomonadati; Bacteroidota; Chitinophagia; Chitinophagales; Chitinophagaceae
Description: tRNA-His
Rfam family: tRNA
About the family: Transfer RNA (tRNA) molecules are approximately 80 nucleotides in length. Their secondary structure includes four short double-helical elements and three loops (D, anti-codon, and T loops).
Source: RNAcentral